This 323-nucleotide ribosomal RNA is filed under the name uncultured bacterium. Its description in RNAcentral is "bacterial SSU rRNA". It matches the Rfam family "Bacterial small subunit ribosomal RNA", at positions 28 to 334 of the family's 1533-position model. The record is from RNAcentral.
GAUGAACGCUGGCGGCGUGCUUAACACAUGCAAGUCGAGCGAAGCGCUAAGACGGAUUUCUUCGGAUUGAAGUCUUUGUGACUGAGCGGCGACGGGUGAAGGUACGCGUGGUAACCUGCCUCAUACAGGGGGAUAACAGUUAGAAAUGACUGCUAAUACCGCAUAAGCGCACAGGACCGCAUGGUCUGGUGUGAAAAACUCCGGUGGUAUGAGAUGGACCCGCGUCUGAUUAGCUAGUUGGAGGGGUAACGGCCCACCAAGGCGACGAUCAGUAGCCGGCCUGAGAGGGUGAACGGCCACAUUGGGACUGAGACACGGCCCAG